UAUUGUGUACCAGUAACAAAACCUGAAAGAUUCAAUCAAAACCUUUUGUAAAUCAAGCUGUUUUCAUUCCCUAUGCCGUCCAGGUAAAAAUAUUCGUCCAGACUAUGAUCAAAUUUCCUGUCAGAAAUAAUCUGGAAAACGUUCCAGCCCUAAUUAAUGAGGAGUACUUAGACCAUUGUGAUUUACUGGCGAUAUGCCCUUUUCAGGUUACCGUAAGAUAGCCAUAAUCUUUACAUAAGGCGUUNGAUUCUUGAUGAUAAUGAGCUCUGAGUGGGUAAGAUUGAUCGAUAAGACACACUUAUUCCUCAUCUACGAUCGAGCAAUAAUUCNGUGAGAAAAUCGAAGUCGUUUUCUAUCGUUUGGUUGCCAAUAAAACAGACAAGAAACUAAUAGUGACCAAUUGUGAGUUAGAUAUGAGACUCAAUGUUUUUGGCGCUCUUUAUCAGCCAGCACUUAUAGUCUUCUUUUUUUCACAGACACAACGGAAGACCCACUUUGAUAAAGUCAUGUUUUGCGGUAUUUGAUAAAAGAGGGACCCAAUGAAACAAGGCAUCGUUGUACACUAGCCAAUAGCAAAGCUGAUUUCUCAUGACGUCAUGGUCACGUGGUAUGGUGGCUUAUAAGUUGUGUAUAACCUAUAUCCUCAUUUAAUAGCAGCACUCUUUAUUAGAUCCACCCACAACUACUGACCCACAACUACUGUGGGACCUCAGGGUAGAGAUAAGGGUGUUGUACAUGAUCAGUGCUGAGAUUCACAUGAAUAUGGUUCAUCCAAAUGCAAGACAUAAGCUUCAAAGUGGGUUAAUAUGGUCUUAAAUAAGUACGUUUAGUGUUGGAUUCAUGGAAGACUAUCACUAAUCAACCCAUUUAACCUCAGAUCUUCCUACUGAAAUGGUGAUAAAUGUCACAGAAAUGAGUGUCAAUGAGAGUUCAAUUUAUCCUGCUUCGCUAUGGUCAAAACUAGUACACUAAAGACGUCUAACUAUACUAGAAAAACCUAAUAUGCUCAANAACCUGCAAUCUUCAAAGAAAACAAUUAUUUGGUGUCGCUCUCUGGGAUCACACCACGGAAAACAUUGUGCCUUUUGGGGGUAAAUGGUCAAGUUCAACAGAAAAUGCUUUUUUGUCGAGAAAUAUCGCAGUUUACAUUUGAAUACAGAAAGUUCUUGUGUCGAAAAUGGAAGUUCUACAAGUUAAAAUUUUAUCUUUGCUCAACUUCAAGAAUGAUUUGUGCAUAUAUAUAAGGAGUGUCUUGUUAAGAAGUGCCUGUGCCUGGAGGAGAGCUAUUUUAAAGUAAUGAUGGUGAUCAAUAAUGGGAGAAUAGUACGUUCUUUGGACCAUUAACAUUGAUAUUCAUAUUAGGACAUGUACAGAUACACAAUUUUUAAGUUCAAAGCUCAAAACGACAUCGCACUAGUUACACCAACAAACAACUUCUAGAGUUGGAAAAAGAGUUCCAUUUUAGUCGCUACCUUUGUACAACACGACGUAGAGAAAUCUCCAAGACGCUCGAUCUCUC
Molecule: unclassified non-coding RNA, 1519 nt
Filed under: Exaiptasia diaphana
Lineage: Eukaryota; Metazoa; Cnidaria; Anthozoa; Actiniaria; Aiptasiidae
Description: homeobox protein Hox-B4, transcript variant X1
Source: RNAcentral